Molecule: ribosomal RNA, 905 nt
Filed under: Dicranolaius sp. COL1343
Lineage: Eukaryota; Metazoa; Arthropoda; Insecta; Coleoptera; Melyridae
Description: SSU rRNA
Rfam family: Eukaryotic small subunit ribosomal RNA
Source: RNAcentral
AUGUCUCAGUACAAGCCUAAUUAAGGUGAAACCGCGAAAGGCUCAUUANAUCAGUUAUGGUUCCUUAGAUCGUACCCACAUUUACUUGGAUAACUGUGGUAAUUCUAGAGCUAAUACAUGCCAAUAGAGCUCCGACCGGAGACGGAAGGAGUGCUUUUAUUAGAUCAAAACCAAUCGGUGGCGAGUUCGCUCGUCAUCGCCCAGCUUGGUGACUCUGAAUAACUUUACGCUGAUCGCACGGUCUCGCACCGGCGACGCAUCUUUCAAAUGUCUGCCUUAUCAACUGUCGAUGGUAGGUUCUGCGCCUACCAUGGUUGUAACGGGUAACGGGGAAUCAGGGUUCGAUUCCGGAGAGGGAGCCUGAGAAACGGCUACCACAUCCAAGGAAGGCAGCAGGCGCGCAAAUUACCCACUCCCGGCACGGGGAGGUAGUGACGAAAAAUAACGAUACGGGACUCAUCCGAGGCCCCGUAAUCGGAAUGAGAACACUCUAAACCCUUUAACGAGGAUCAAUUGGAGGGCAAGUCUGGUGCCAGCAGCCGCGGUAAUUCCAGCUCCAAUAGCGUAUAUUAAAGUUGUUGCGGUUAAAAAGCUCGUAGUCGGAUCUGUGUCUCGCGCCGUUGGUUCAUCGUCCGCGGUGUUAACUGACGUUUCGCGAGACGUAUUGCCGGUGGGCUUGCCUCUUCGGGGGCGGCCCAACUAAUCCCGCCGCGGUGCUCUUAACUGAGUGUCGAGGUAGGCCGGCACGUUUACUUUGAACAAAUUAGAGUGCUUAAAGCAGGCUAAAACUUCGCCUGAAUANUGUGUGCAUGGAAUAAUGGAAUAGGACCUCGGUUCUAUUUUGUUGGUUUUCGGAACCCCGAGGUAAUGAUUAAUAGGAACGGAUGGGGGCAUUCGUAUUGCGA